GUCUGAAUUUCAGCCACCCAUAUAUUUUAUUGCGAGUUAUAUGCGUGUCUGAGUUUCAGACACCCCUAUCGCUGGAAAUUGAAUAAACGAUCAUGCAAGAUAUAGUUAUAGGAGUGUCUGAAAUUCAGACACCCAUAUAGCUCGUGAAAGAAGUAUAUAUGGGUGUCUGAAAUUCAGAC
Non-coding RNA from Paramuricea clavata, 179 nucleotides. NCBI's taxonomy places the organism in Eukaryota, Metazoa, Cnidaria, Anthozoa, Malacalcyonacea, Plexauridae. The record is from the annotation of a GenBank genome assembly.